This 355-nucleotide ribosomal RNA is filed under the name uncultured bacterium. RNAcentral describes it as "partial 16S ribosomal RNA". It matches the Rfam family "Bacterial small subunit ribosomal RNA", at positions 338 to 710 of the family's 1533-position model. The record is from RNAcentral.
CCUACGGGUGGCAGCAGUGGGGAAUAUUGCACAAUGGGGGAAACCCUGAUGCAGCGACGCCGCGUGAGUGAAGAAGUAUUUAGGUAUGUAAAGCUCUAUCAGCAGGGAAGAAAAUGACGGUACCUGAUUAAGAAGCUCCGGCUAACUACGUGCAAGCAGCCGCGGUAAUACGUAGGGGGCAAGCGUUAUCCGGAUUUACUGGGUGUAAAGGGAGCGUAGACGGCAGCGCAAGUCUGAAGUGAAAUGCCGGGGCUUAACCCCGGAACUGCUUUUGAAACUGUGCAGCUAGAGUGCAGGAGAGGUAAGUGGAAUUCGUAGUGUAGCGGUGAAAUGCGUAGAUAUUAGGAGGAACUCC